GAUGAACGCUGGCGGCGUGCUUAACACAUGCAAGUCGAACGAUGAAGCCCAGCUUGCUGGGUGGAUUAGUGGCGAACGGGUGAGUAACACGUGAGUAACCUGCCCUUAACUCUGGGAUAAGCCUGGGAAACUGGGUCUAAUACCGGAUAGGAGCGCCUACCGCAUGGUGGGUGUUGGAAAGAUUUAUCGGUUUUGGAUGGACUCGCGGCCUAUCAGCUUGUUGGUGAGGUAAUGGCUCACCAAGGCGACGGCGGGUAGCCGGCCUGAGAGGGUGACCGGCCACACUGGGACUGAGACACGGCCCAGACUCCUACGGGAGGCAGCAGUGGGGAAUAUUGCACAAUGGGCGAAAGCCUGAUGCAGCGACGCCGCGUGAGGGAUGACGGCCUUCGGGUUGUAAACCUCUUUCAGUAGGGAAGAAGCGAAAGUGACGGUACCUGCAGAAGAAGCACCGGCUAACUACGUG
This 466-nucleotide ribosomal RNA is filed under the name uncultured bacterium. Its description in RNAcentral is "partial 16S ribosomal RNA". It matches the Rfam family "Bacterial small subunit ribosomal RNA", at positions 28 to 507 of the family's 1533-position model. The record is from RNAcentral.